UGGGGGAUAUUGCACAAUGGGCGAAAGCCUGAUGCAGCGACGCCGCGUGGGGGAUGAAGGCCUUCGGGUUGUAAACUUCUUUUGCUCUGAACAAGGCAUGCCUUUGGGGUGUGUUGAGUGUAGGGGUUGAUUAGCGCCGGCUAACUACGUGCCAGCAGCCGCGGUAAUACGUAGGGCGCGAGCGUUGUCCGGAAUUAUUGGGCGUAAAGGGCUUGUAGGUGGCUGGUUGCGUCUGUCGUGAAAGCUCAUGGCUUAACUGUGGGUUUGCGGUGGGUACGGGCUGGCUUGAGUGCAGUAGGGGAGGCUGGAAUUCCUGGUGUAGCGGUGGAAUGCGCAGAUAUCAGGAGGAAUACCGGUGGCGAAGGCGGGUCUCUGGGCUGUUACUGACGCUCAGGCACGAAAGCGUGGGGAGCAAACAGG
This 420-nucleotide ribosomal RNA is filed under the name Fusobacteriota bacterium. RNAcentral describes it as "Fusobacteria bacterium partial 16S ribosomal RNA". It matches the Rfam family "Bacterial small subunit ribosomal RNA", at positions 355 to 776 of the family's 1533-position model. Lineage: Bacteria; Fusobacteriati; Fusobacteriota. The record is from RNAcentral.